Molecule: ribosomal RNA, 468 nt
Filed under: uncultured bacterium
Lineage: Bacteria
Description: partial 16S ribosomal RNA
Rfam family: Bacterial small subunit ribosomal RNA
Source: RNAcentral
GACGAACGCUGGCGGCGUGCUUAACACAUGCAAGUCGAACGGAAAGGCCCUGCUUUUGUGGGGUGCUCGAGUGGCGAACGGGUGAGUAACACGUGAGUAACCUGCCCUUGACUUUGGGAUAACUUCAGGAAACUGGGGCUAAUACCGGAUAGGAGCUCCUGCUGCAUGGUGGGGGUUGGAAAGUUUCGGCGGUUGGGGAUGGACUCGCGGCUUGUCAGCUUGUUGGUGGGGUAGUGGCUUACCAAGGCUUUGACGGGUAGCCGGCCUGAGAGGGUGACCGGCCACAUUGGGACUGAGAUACGGCCCAGACUCCUACGGGAGGCAGCAGUGGGGAAUAUUGCACAAUGGGCGGAAGCCUGAUGCAGCAACGCCGCGUGCGGGAUGACGGCCUUCGGGUUGUAAACCGCUUCCGCCUGUGACGAAGCGUGAGUGACGGUAAUGGGUAAAGAAGCACCGGCUAACUACGUG